Non-coding RNA from Triticum aestivum (bread wheat), 119 nucleotides. The record is from Rfam. Lineage: Eukaryota; Viridiplantae; Streptophyta; Magnoliopsida; Poales; Poaceae.
GUGGUACUCCCUUCGUCCAGAAAUACUUGUCAUCAAUGUAUCUAGAUGUAUUUUAGUUUUAGAUACACCCUUUUUUUUUCAUUUUGAUGACAAGUUUUUUCGAACGGAGGGAGUAGAAG